This 464-nucleotide ribosomal RNA is filed under the name uncultured bacterium. Its description in RNAcentral is "partial 16S ribosomal RNA". It matches the Rfam family "Bacterial small subunit ribosomal RNA", at positions 339 to 795 of the family's 1533-position model. The record is from RNAcentral.
CUACGGGCGGCUGCAGUGGGGAAUCUUCCACAAUGGGCGAAAGCCUGAUGGAGCAACGCCGCGUGAGUGAAGAAGGUUUUCGGAUCGUAAAACUCUGUUGUAAGGGAAGAACAAGUACAGUAGUAACUGGCUGUACCUUGACGGUACCUUAUUAGAAAGCCACGGCUAACUACGUGCCAGCAGCCGCGGCAAUACGUAGGCGGCAAGCGUUGUCCGGAAUUAUUGGGCGUAAAGCGCGCGCAGGCGGUCCUUUAAGUCUGAUGUGAAAGCCCACGGCUCAACCGUGGAGGGUCAUUGGAAACUGGGGGACUUGAGUGCAGAAGAGGAAAGUGGAAUUCCAAGUGUAGCGGUGAAAUGCGUAGAGAUUUGGAGGAACACCAGUGGCGAAGGCGACUUUCUGGUCUGUAACUGACGCUGAGGCGCGAAAGCGUGGGGAGCAAACAGGAUUAGAUACCCUGGUAGUC